AGCGGCGAACUGGUGAGUAACACGUAGGUAAUCUGCCGUGAAGUGGGGGAUAACCCAGGGAAACAUGGAUAAUACCGCAUAUACUCUUUACAUAAGUAGAGUAGAGGAAAGUUUUUUCGCUUCACGAUGAGCCUGCGGCCUAUUAGCCUGUUGGUAGGGUAAUGGCCUACCAAAGCUACGAUAGGUAGCCGACCUGAGAGGGUGACCGGCCACAUUGGGACUGAGAUACGGCCCAGACUCCUACGGGAGGCAGCAGCUGAGAAU
Molecule: ribosomal RNA, 264 nt
Filed under: Brachyspira pilosicoli
Lineage: Bacteria; Pseudomonadati; Spirochaetota; Spirochaetia; Brachyspirales; Brachyspiraceae
Description: partial 16S ribosomal RNA
Rfam family: Bacterial small subunit ribosomal RNA
Source: RNAcentral